This 253-nucleotide ribosomal RNA is filed under the name uncultured bacterium. RNAcentral describes it as "partial 16S ribosomal RNA". It matches the Rfam family "Bacterial small subunit ribosomal RNA", at positions 524 to 776 of the family's 1533-position model. The record is from RNAcentral.
UACAGAGGUCUCAAGCGUUGUUCGGAUUCAUUGGGCGUAAAGGGCUCGUAGGUGGCCAACUAAGUCAGACGUGAAAUCCCUCAGCUUAACUGGGGAACUGCGUCUGAUACUGGAUGGCUUGAGUUUGGGAGAGGGACGCGGAAUUCCAGGUGUAGCGGUGAAAUGCGUAGAUAUCUGGAGGAACACCGGUGGCGAAGGCGGCGUCCUGGACCAACACUGACACUGAUGAGCGAAAGCCAGGGGAGCAAACGGG